This 466-nucleotide ribosomal RNA is filed under the name uncultured bacterium. Its description in RNAcentral is "partial 16S ribosomal RNA". It matches the Rfam family "Bacterial small subunit ribosomal RNA", at positions 339 to 795 of the family's 1533-position model. The record is from RNAcentral.
CUACGGGGGGCUGCAGUGAGGAAUAUUGCGCAAUGGGGGAAACCCUGACGCAGCGACGCCGCGUGGAUGAUGAAGGCUUUCGGGUCGUAAAAUCCUGUCAGAUGGAAAGAAAUGUAAUCCUGCUAAUACCAUGAUUACUUGACGGUACCAUCAGAGGAAGCACCGGCUAACUCCGUGCCAGCAGCCGCGGUAAUACGGAGAGGUGCAAGCGUUGUUCGGAAUUACUGGGCGUAAAGCGCGCGUAGGCGGUUUGUUAAGUCAGAUGUGAAAGCCCAGGGCUCAACCCUGGACGUGCAUUUGAAACUGGCAGACUUGAGUAUUGGAGGGGGUGGUGGAAUUCCCGGUGUAGAGGUGAAAUUCGUAGAUAUCGGGAGGAAUACCGGUGGCGAAGGCGACCACCUGGCCAAAUACUGACGCUGAGGUGCGAAAGCGUGGGGAGCAAACAGGAUUAGAUACCCGCGUAGUC